RNAcentral lists this ribosomal RNA (460 nucleotides) under uncultured bacterium. RNAcentral's name for it is "partial 16S ribosomal RNA". It matches the Rfam family "Bacterial small subunit ribosomal RNA", at positions 338 to 795 of the family's 1533-position model. The record is from RNAcentral.
CCUACGAGAGGCUGCAGUGAGGAAUAUUGGUCAAUGGACGAGAGUCUGAACCAGCCAAGUAGCGUGAAGGAUGACUGCCCUAUGGGUUGUAAACUUCUUUUAUAUGGGAAUAAAACGUUCCACGUGUGGGCUUUUGUAUGUACCCUAUGAAUAAGGAUCGGCUAACUCCGUGCCAGCAGCCGCGGUAAUACGGAGGAUCCGAGCGUUAUCCGGAUUUAUUGGGUUUAAGGGGAGCGUAGGUGGAUUGUUAAGUCAGUUGUGAAAGUUUGCGGCUCAACCGUAAAAUUGCAGCUGAAACUGGCAGUCUUGAGUACAGUAGAGGUGGGCGGAAUUCGUGGUGUAGCGGUGAAAUGCUUAGAUAUCACGAAGAACUCCGAUUGCGAAGGCAGCUUACUAAACUGCCACUGACAUUGAUGCUCGAAAGUGUGGGUAUCAAACAGGAUUAGAUACCCCUGUAGUC